CGGACGGGUGAGUAACGCGUGGGGAACCUGCCCUGUACCGGGGGAUAGCAGCCGGAAACGGCUGAUAAUACCGCAUAAGCGCACGAAUGUCGCAUGACAUGGUGUGAAAAACUCCGGUGGUAUAGGAUGGACCCGCGUCUGAUUAGCCAGUUGGUGGGGUAAAAGCCUACCAAAGCGAAGAUCAGUAGCCGAGUUGAGAGACUGACCGGCCACAUUGGGACUGAGACACGGCCCAGACUCCUACGGGAGGCAGCAGCC
Molecule: ribosomal RNA, 258 nt
Filed under: uncultured bacterium
Lineage: Bacteria
Description: partial 16S ribosomal RNA
Rfam family: Bacterial small subunit ribosomal RNA
Source: RNAcentral